UAUAUAUAUAUAUAUAACUGCAGCUUCGGCUGGCAUAUAUACAUAAGAAGGUGGGGUGCUGAGCAGGAUGGAGAAGCAGGGCACGUGCAUUCAUGGACAUGUAUAUCAUCUUGAUCAUAUGACUUAUAAUUAUCCUGCAGUUAGGUGGCUAGCUCUAGGUGAUCUUUCAUUCAGCUCAUCCUAAUCUAAUUAGAUUUUCUUAUAUGGGUGUGCCUAAUCACAUUGAAUUAGUAGUGCUUCAUGCAUGUGCCCUUCUUCCCCAUCAUGACCACUCCACCUUACAAACGACAAGACAAGCUUGCAGCUUAAUGAUAUCGAUCGGCUUCCAAGCAGCUGGAAGUUAAUUCACAUCACGUGUAGCCAAAUCAAAGCUUCAUUUUCAGAUGGGAAUUAAUGGAGAAGCGAAGCGGCCAACUUUAAUCGAAAAACAAAAGGUUUGUACGGUGGAAUGCAUGCGAUUUAUAAGCUUCCAGAAUAUGGUUUUGAGGGUUUCCUUUUUCUGUAGUAAUUAGAUAAGCAUGCAUAUUGGUGUCAUGUAGGUCUCUGGAUGAUUUUCUAAGCUGCAUCCUGAGGAAGUUACAUAUGUUAUAUAUAAGAUUUUAGCUUACUUCUGGUUC
This is a long non-coding RNA of Diospyros lotus (date-plum), 617 nucleotides long. RefSeq lists it as uncharacterized. The record is from RefSeq and is a predicted model, not a curated record. The transcript is spliced from 2 exons. NCBI's taxonomy places the organism in Eukaryota, Viridiplantae, Streptophyta, Magnoliopsida, Ericales, Ebenaceae.